This 253-nucleotide ribosomal RNA is filed under the name uncultured bacterium. RNAcentral describes it as "partial 16S ribosomal RNA". It matches the Rfam family "Bacterial small subunit ribosomal RNA", at positions 524 to 776 of the family's 1533-position model. The record is from RNAcentral.
UACGUAGGUGGCACGCGUUGUCCGGAUUUAUUGGGUUUAAAGGGUGCGUAGGCGGCUUUGUAAGUCAGUGGUGAAAUAUGGCAGCUCAACUGUCAGGGUGCCAUUGAUACUGCGGAGCUUGAGUACAGAUGAGGUAGGCGGAAUUGACGGUGUAGCGGUGAAAUGCUUAGAUAUCGUCAAGAACACCGAUAGCGAAGGCAGCUUACUGGGCUGUAACUGACGCUGAGGCACGAAAGUGUGGGGAUCAAACAGG